CCAGAAGGGGCUGGAGGCUCUCCCUCUCAACAGUUUAACCUUUGACUGUGUGAUUGAAUUACGGAGCUUUUAUCAAGGUUUUGCCUCUCCUGAAACAACGCUCCAUGUGUAACCUGUCCCUCCCCGAGCCGGACUGCAGGAUGAUUUUUCCUUCAACACACUGGUCCCGCCCACUGGCCUAUGGCAGAAGCCAGAAAAAGCGACGAUAAGAAAGGGAGGCCCCAUCAGGGGACUUAGAGGCAGUGUUUCUGUUAUCUGCUUAGAUCCCAAGAAUGGUCAGGAAGAAACUGAAAGCUGGAAUUCAUAACCAUUCCCUUACUCAAGUCCUUACAGGCUCUGCAGUAUACCCAGAGAGCCACCCAUAAGCUUGUUCGUGAUGCUCUGCCAGUGCCCACUGCGGACCCUGUACAUCCCUUCCAGCCCAAGAACUCGGUAUGGGUAAAGAAGGUCACUGCCCAAGGACUCACCCCAACCUGGGAGGGAUGCUACACUGUUAUCCUGAGCACGCCCACGGCUGUUGAAGUAGAUGGCGUCCAGACCUGGCUACACAACUCCCAGCUCCUGCACCAGGAAACGGCCUGGAUCCUGGCAACCAGCGGCCUCACCCGUGAGAUCCCUAGCCUAGGCUCCACGCAGGCCAGGAGGAAUCUCGACACCUGCAGGAGAGGAACUAGAAUUCGCUGUGGACAGUACUGUUGGGGACUGUAGUACUAAAGGCCUUAGCCAGAAGUAAGAGACAAAGUAGAAAUGCAAACCGUCUCAUGAUUGAGCCGGGUGUCCCAAGACAAGGGGGGAAUGAAAGGGCAGAGCAGGACAGCACAAAAUGUACUGUACCCUCCAUCCUGUGUAACUAUGUAUCAGACUCCUUUUUCUUAGAAAACCGCGAGAAUGUAACAAUUGCAUGAACCUGCCAAUAGGAAUGUAGAGAAGUAGAUUCAGUCCAAAUUAGGCAAUCUCUGUAACCCACGUCACUUCCCUAAGCCCACCCAAAUGUCCAACCCUUUAUAAUUCAUCACUCCCCCGGAGUUCGCUCUCUGGCCCCACUGCUGCGUCAGGAGGAGGCUGGGAGCCAAACCCGGGUUUGAAUAAAGACUCUUUGCUUUUGCAUCGGAGAAAAGGCUCCCUAGUGGUUGAUUAUUGGGGACCC
This is a long non-coding RNA of Eptesicus fuscus (big brown bat), 1147 nucleotides long. RefSeq lists it as uncharacterized. The transcript has 3 exons. The record is from RefSeq and is a predicted model, not a curated record. Lineage: Eukaryota; Metazoa; Chordata; Mammalia; Chiroptera; Vespertilionidae.